This 1434-nucleotide ribosomal RNA is filed under the name uncultured organism. Its description in RNAcentral is "SSU rRNA". It matches the Rfam family "Bacterial small subunit ribosomal RNA". The record is from RNAcentral.
UUAACACAUGCAAGUCGAGGGGCAUCAGGAAGAAAGCUUGCCUUCUUUGCUGGCGACCGGCGCACGGGUGAGUAACACGUAUCCAACCUGCCCUUUACUCGGGGAUAGCCUUUCGAAAGAAAGAUUAAUACCCGAUAGCAUAAUGAUUCCGCAUGGUUUCAUUAUUAAAGGAUUCCGGUAAAGGAUGGGGAUGCGUUCCAUUAGGUUGUUGGUGAGGUAACGGCCCACCAAGCCUUCGAUGGAUAGGGGUUCUGAGAGGAAGGUCCCCCACAUUGGAACUGAGACACGGUCCAAACUCCUACGGGAGGCAGCAGUGAGGAAUAUUGGUCAAUGGGCGCUAGCCUGAACCAGCCAAGUAGCGUGAAGGAUGAAGGCUCUAUGGGUCGUAAACUUCUUUUAUAUAAGAAUAAAGUGCAGUAUGUAUACUGUUUUGUAUGUAUUAUAUGAAUAAGGAUCGGCUAACUCCGUGCCAGCAGCCGCGGUAAUACGGAGGAUCCGAGCGUUAUCCGGAUUUAUUGGGUUUAAAGGGAGCGUAGGUGGACUGGUAAGUCAGUUGUGAAAGUUUGCGGCUCAACCGUAAAAUUGCAGUUGAUACUGUCAGUCUUGAGUACAGUAGAGGUGGGCGGAAUUCGUGGUGUAGCGGUGAAAUGCUUAGAUAUCACGAAGAACUCCGAUUGCGAAGGCAGCUCACUGGACUGCAACUGACACUGAUGCUCGAAAGUGUGGGUAUCAAACAGGAUUAGAUACCCUGGUAGUCCACACAGUAAACGAUGAAUACUCGCUGUUUGCGAUAUACAGUAAGCGGCCAAGCGAAAGCAUUAAGUAUUCCACCUGGGGAGUACGCCGGCAACGGUGAAACUCAAAGGAAUUGACGGGGGCCCGCACAAGCGGAGGAACAUGUGGUUUAAUUCGAUGAUACGCGAGGAACCUUACCCGGGCUUAAAUUGCAGUGGAAUGAUGUGGAAACAUGUCAGUGAGCAAUCACCGCUGUGAAGGUGCUGCAUGGUUGUCGUCAGCUCGUGCCGUGAGGUGUCGGCUUAAGUGCCAUAACGAGCGCAACCCUUAUCUUUAGUUACUAACAGGUUAUGCUGAGGACUCUAGAGAGACUGCCGUCGUAAGAUGUGAGGAAGGUGGGGAUGACGUCAAAUCAGCACGGCCCUUACGUCCGGGGCUACACACGUGUUACAAUGGGGGGUACAGAAGGCAGCUAGCGGGCGACCGUAUGCUAAUCCCAAAAUCCUCUCUCAGUUCGGAUCGAAGUCUGCAACCCGACUUCGUGAAGCUGGAUUCGCUAGUAAUCGCGCAUCAGCCACGGCGCGGUGAAUACGUUCCCGGGCCUUGUACACACCGCCCGUCAAGCCAUGGGAGCCGGGGGUACCUGAAGUACGUAACCGCAAGGAUCGUCCUAGGGUAAAACUGGUGACUGGGGCUACG